UACAGAGGGGGCAAGCGUUAUUCGGAAUUAUUGGGCGUAAAGGGCGCGUAGGCGGCUUUGCAAGUGACGGGUGAAAGCCCUCGGCUUAACCGAGGAACUGCCUGUCAGACUGUAAGGCUUGAGACCGGGAGAGGUGAGUGGAAUUCCCAGUGUAGCGGUGAAAUGCGUAGAUAUCUGGAGGAACACCGGUGGCGAAGGCGGCAUCCUGGACCAACACUGACACUGAGGAGCGAAAGCCAGGGGAGCAAACGGG
This 253-nucleotide ribosomal RNA is filed under the name uncultured bacterium. Its description in RNAcentral is "partial 16S ribosomal RNA". It matches the Rfam family "Bacterial small subunit ribosomal RNA", at positions 524 to 776 of the family's 1533-position model. The record is from RNAcentral.